This 500-nucleotide ribosomal RNA is filed under the name uncultured bacterium. Its description in RNAcentral is "partial 16S ribosomal RNA". It matches the Rfam family "Bacterial small subunit ribosomal RNA", at positions 30 to 523 of the family's 1533-position model. The record is from RNAcentral.
AUUGAACGCUGGCGGCAUGCCUUACACAUGCAAGUCGAACGGCAGCACGGGUGCUUGCACCUGGUGGCGAGUGGCGAACGGGUGAGUAAUACAUCGGAACGUACCUUAUCGUGGGGGAUAACGCAGCGAAAGUUGCGCUAAUACCGCAUACGCCCUGAGGGGGAAAGCGGGGACCGUAAGGCCUCGCGCGAUUAGAGCGGCCGAUGUCUGAUUAGCUUGUUGGUGAGGUAAAAGCUCACCAAGGCGAUGAUCAGUAGCUGGUCUGAGAGGACGAUCAGCCAAACUGGGACUGAGACACGGCCCAGACUCCUACGGGAGGCAGCAGUGGGGAAUUUUGGACAAUGGGGGCAACCCUGAUCCAGCAAUGCCGCGUGAGUGAAGAAGGCCUUCGGGUUAUAAAGCUCUUUUGUCAGGGAAGAAACAGCAGCUCUAACACAGUCUGCGAAUGACGGUACCUGAAGAAUAAGCACCGGCUAACUACGUGCCAGCAGCCGCCGUAA